This 497-nucleotide ribosomal RNA is filed under the name uncultured bacterium. RNAcentral's name for it is "partial 16S ribosomal RNA". It matches the Rfam family "Bacterial small subunit ribosomal RNA", at positions 28 to 507 of the family's 1533-position model. The record is from RNAcentral.
GAUGAACGCUGGCGGCGUGCCUAAUACAUGCAAGUCGAGCGAACGGACGAGAAGCUUGCUUCUCUGAUGUUAGCGGCGGACGGGUGAGUAACACGUGGAUAACCUACCUAUAAGACUGGGAUAACUUCGGGAAACCGUAGCUAAUACCGGAUGAUAUUUUGAACCGCAUGGUUCCAAAGUGAAAGACGGUCUUGCUGUCACUUAUAGAUGGAUCCGCGCUGCAUUAGCUAGUUGGUAAGGUAACGGCUUACCAAGGCAACGAUGCAUAGCCGACCUGAGAGGGUGGUCGGCCAGACGGGAACUGAGACACGUUCCAGACUCCGACGGUAGGCAGCAGUAGGGAAUCUUCCGCGAUGGGCGAAAGCCGGACGGAGCAACGCCGCGGGAGUGAUGAAGGUCUUCGGAUCGUAAAGCGCUGUUAUUAGGGAAGAACAUAUGUGUAAGUAACUGUGCACAUCUUGACGGUACCUAAUCAGAAAGCCACGGCUAACUACGUG